CCUACGGGAGGCAGCAGUGAGGAAUCUUGGUCAAUGGACGCAAGUCUGAACCAGCCAUGCCGCGUGCAGGAAGACGGCCCUAUGAGUUGUAAACUGCUUUUGUACGAGGGUAAAUGCAGAUACGUAUCUCUGUAUGACAGUAUCGUACGAAUAAGGAUCGGCUAACUCCGUGCCAGCAGCCGCGGUAAUACGGAGGAUUCAUGCGUUAUCCGGAUUUAUUGGGUUGAAAGGGUGCGUAGGCGGUCGGAUAAGUUAGAGGUGAAAUCACGGGGCUCAACUUGGGAAUUGCCUCUGAUACUGUUCGGCUAGAGAGUAGUUGCGGUAGGCGGAAUGUAGGGGGUAGCGGUGAAAUGCGUAGAGAUCAGGAAGAACACCGAUGGCGAAGGCAGCUUAC
This 394-nucleotide ribosomal RNA is filed under the name uncultured bacterium. RNAcentral describes it as "partial 16S ribosomal RNA". It matches the Rfam family "Bacterial small subunit ribosomal RNA", at positions 338 to 729 of the family's 1533-position model. The record is from RNAcentral.